Molecule: small RNA, 521 nt
Filed under: Pan troglodytes (chimpanzee)
Lineage: Eukaryota; Metazoa; Chordata; Mammalia; Primates; Hominidae
Description: retained intron
Source: RNAcentral
GAGAAACUCAGCACCCCCGGGACUGUCCGUCGCAAAAUCCAACAUGAAAAUCCUCGUGGCCUUGGCAGUCUUUUUUCUUGUCUCCACUCAGCUGUUUGCAGAAGAAAUAGGAGCCAAUGAUGAUCUGAAUUACUGGUCCGACUGGUCCGACAGCGACCAGAUCAAGGUGAGGCCCCUUCCCAGGACGGCCCGCACCCUUCUUCCUGGGCUCGGGAGCUGUCACCUUCCCACGCAACAGCACCCUAGUUAACGUGGCAGGCACCGCCACCACGGAAAGAGGCAGCGGUUGCGUGCGAGAGGAUGGAAAGGGGCACUAUUUCCCGGGUUCCCCACGGGAUUUUGUGCCCACGAUUCAAGUUUCUUCCCGUGGGCUGCACCGUCCGGCCCAGGAACUCCCUGCAGUAGGGAUGCCCUCCCGGAUGAGCCCGAGAUCCUCACAAGGAGGGAAAUCUCGUAAGAUUUCAUCCCCCAGGACCUGGGAUUUCGGGGGCUCGGGUCCAGCUGCACUGCCCUAGCGUCUG